This is a non-coding RNA of Asterophora parasitica, 89 nucleotides long. The record is from the annotation of a GenBank genome assembly. Lineage: Eukaryota; Fungi; Basidiomycota; Agaricomycetes; Agaricales; Lyophyllaceae.
GGCCGUGUGGCGAAAUGGCAUCGCGUCUGACUACGAUUCUAAAGAAAUUCGACAUCAGGAGAUUGCAGGUUCGACCCCUGUCUCGGUCA